AGCUGAUAUGGUGGUUUCAUCCCCGUCUGAUUCUCAGUGGGCAUACACAUAGUGCUUGUGAAGUGCUGCACGUGGGGAAAAUUCCAGAAAUCAGCGUCCCGUCAUUCAGUUGGAGGAAUAGAAACAAUCCUAGUUUCAUCAUGGGCAGCAUAACACCAACUGACUUCUCCCUCCAAAAAUGCUUCCUUCCAUAUGAAAGCAGAGUCUUUACUAUAUACUGUGCAGCAGGUGCUCUGCUUGUAAUCCUGAUACUAGCUCAUUUUCAGCUUCUCACUCCACCAUUUUAUUUUGCUCAGCGUUUAAUCAGUAAGCGUAAAGCAGUAUGAAGAGCCAGACAUCUGCAUUCAGUCACUGAAAUACCAAAGCUGAGAACAGUCAAACAUCAGACUAUAUUCAUGCCAGCAAAUGACCUAAUUUGAUUGCUAGUCUGAAGGCAGGUUGCAUUUACACAUACCAUAUAAGUCCUAUACAGCUGAUAUGACUACUACAGGAUAAAUAAUUAACUGAAAUUAAUGUUUCAUGCUGUACAAAAAUACUGUAUUCUACAAUCAAAUGAGUCCUUUUCCUGCUGUAAUUUUUGUAUCAAAUAUGUAUAUUAAAAGUGUAACUGUACAUAUGUAAA
This is a long non-coding RNA of Pterocles gutturalis (yellow-throated sandgrouse), 622 nucleotides long. RefSeq lists it as uncharacterized. The transcript is spliced from 2 exons. The record is from RefSeq and is a predicted model, not a curated record. Lineage: Eukaryota; Metazoa; Chordata; Aves; Pterocliformes; Pteroclidae.